UACGUAGGGCGCAAGCGUUGUCCGGAAUUAUUGGGCGUAAAGAGCUCGUGGCGGUUUGUCGCGUCUGCUGUGAAAGCCCGGGGCUCAACCCCGGGUCUGCAGUGGGUACGGGCAGACUAGAGUGCAGUAGGGGAGACUGGAAUUCCUGGUGUAGCGGUGAAAAUGCAGCAGAUAUCAGGAGGAACACCGAUGGCGAAGGCAGGUCUCUGGGCUGUUACUGACGCUGAGGAGCGAAAGCAUGGGGAGCGAACAGGAUUAGAUACCCGGUGUC
This 271-nucleotide ribosomal RNA is filed under the name uncultured bacterium. RNAcentral's name for it is "partial 16S ribosomal RNA". It matches the Rfam family "Bacterial small subunit ribosomal RNA", at positions 524 to 795 of the family's 1533-position model. The record is from RNAcentral.